GAGGGUAUAGCUCAGUGGUAGAGUGCAUGCCUAGCAUGCACAAGGUCCUGGGUUCAAUUCCCAGUACCUCCA
Molecule: transfer RNA, 72 nt
Organism: Camelus ferus (Wild Bactrian camel)
Lineage: Eukaryota; Metazoa; Chordata; Mammalia; Artiodactyla; Camelidae
Rfam family: tRNA
About the family: Transfer RNA (tRNA) molecules are approximately 80 nucleotides in length. Their secondary structure includes four short double-helical elements and three loops (D, anti-codon, and T loops).
Source: Rfam